RNAcentral lists this long non-coding RNA (428 nucleotides) under Actinidia chinensis (golden kiwifruit). RNAcentral's name for it is "long non-coding RNA (ACHI_LNC006678)". The record is from RNAcentral. Lineage: Eukaryota; Viridiplantae; Streptophyta; Magnoliopsida; Ericales; Actinidiaceae.
AACCUGGGUUUUCGACAAUAGCCAAUACUGAGGUUGUUUUUUGCGAAAAUGCAUUUUCCUUGCCCCUUUUUCACGCUUCUUGGGAUAGCUUCUUGCAGAAAGAUAAUUGUUUCUCAGAAUUUCUAGUUUUCUUUCUUGCAGUAUAUGGUAAAUCAGUUUGCGAGCAGCUACAGCAUCUGAGGAAAAAAUGAUUCAAACUUUUUUAGAGGUGCAUUAUUUCUGUAUAACUGCACAACCAUCCUUUUCAGUUGAGCAUAUAUUUUUCUGAAUUUUAUUGCCGAUUCUGUUUAUUUAUAACAAUUGGUUGUUUGCCACUUUCCCCUCUUUCUCCUCUUCUUCUCUGGAUCAGUGGAUCUCUUUAGCUUUUGAUGAAAAUUGGCAUUUCAUUUUUUAAAUGCUAUGUUCUCUACUGCACAAGGAAAACAACA